This is a long non-coding RNA of Oncorhynchus tshawytscha (Chinook salmon), 1158 nucleotides long. Lineage: Eukaryota; Metazoa; Chordata; Actinopteri; Salmoniformes; Salmonidae. The record is from Ensembl.
CUCUCCUCUCCUCUCCUCUCCUCUCCUCUGAAAUGAGUGCCUACAGUACAACAGGCCUUGACAGGACAAAGCAGCACAGUAGACAGGCAGCCUCCUGUGAUCUAAAGCAACCCACAACAGUAUCCUAGAAAACAUUGUUAUAUACUGUAAAAACAAAAAUCACAUCUGGCACUGAAAUCUACUAUGCUACAACAAACAUAUGACAUUUUCACACAUCUGAUACUUGGCUUAGUUUAGACAGUAGCUAAGUUGGCUAGUUGGCUAUUUGGAUAAGAUCUCUGUGGACAACACUGAGGUGUAAAAAGUGAGGGUAAUUUAACAAAAGCAAUAAUCUAUGACUUCAGUCGACAAAACAAUGCACCUCAUUGCUGGAACCAAUUGCAAAAUACACUUCAAUUGGACACACAGCUUGGGCAUUUUAAAAUAUUGAUUGGGGAACUGUUAGCUGAGGAAUGUGGCUGUUUUUCAGGAUGGUUUGUUGUACUUGUAUUUUAGUUAGUUUUGAUUUGUCUAUGUAUUGCAUGUGCAGGGCUUCCCUGUGAAAGAAACCCUGGUCUCAAUGGUGACUCCCUGUUUAAAUAGAAAUAGAAAUAGAAAAAUAAAAAAUAAAAAUAAAAAGUGACAUGGAUUAAAAAAAAUUGGCAAUUCAAAACCUCUGACAAGAUUGUUUUCAUGCAACAUCCUCUGCUUGUUUUGUAGCAACUAAUACCAAAGGGGAAACCUGACCUCAAUCCUUGAUAUAGGCUUUAUUGCAUAUUUGUUGAAUUAUGAACAUUUUAAGAAAGAUUUAACAUAUAAGAACACAAAAGAUAAAUAAAAAAAAAACUACUAAAAAAGACAACCUUUACACAAAAAGAGAUUGCAGUCAGAGCGCAGUAUAACUGCAAUCUUUUUCCAUAAAGGGAAAUUUAACAAACUAUAGCCUCUUUACUCAGUUAACAAUUAAUUUGUAAAAUAUUAAGGCAUUUUUGUCUUUGGUUGCUUAUAAUAGUGGCACUUAUCAACAUAACAUAACUUAUCAACAUAAACAGGGUAGUGUGUAGUGGGCUAAGUGCUAGUCAUUAACACAGUGUGUAGUGGGCUAAGCACUAGUCAUUAACACAGUGUGUAGUGGGCUAAGCGCUAGUCAUUAACACAGUGUGUAGUGGGCUAAGCGCU